This 142-nucleotide ribosomal RNA is filed under the name Citrobacter freundii GTC 09629. RNAcentral's name for it is "partial 23S ribosomal RNA". It matches the Rfam family "Bacterial large subunit ribosomal RNA", at positions 2791 to 2925 of the family's 2925-position model. The record is from RNAcentral. Lineage: Bacteria; Pseudomonadati; Pseudomonadota; Gammaproteobacteria; Enterobacterales; Enterobacteriaceae.
AACUUGCCCCGAGAUGAGUUCUCCCUGAGACUAUAAGUCUCCUGAAGGAACGUUGAAGACGACGACGUUGAUAGGUCGGGUGUGUAAGUGUAGCGAUACAUUGAGCUAACCGAUACUAAUGAACCGUGAGGCUUAACCUUAC